CGUGUAGGCGGUCUGAUUAGUCUGAUGUGAAAGCCCUGGGCUCAACCCGGGAAGUGCAUUGGAUACUGUCAGACUUGAAUACGGGAGAGGGUAGUGGAAUUCCUAGUGUAGGAGUGAAAUCCGUAGAUAUUAGGAGGAACACCGGUGGCGAAGGCGGCUACCUGGACCGAUAUUGACGCUGAGACGCGAAAGCGUGGGUAGCAAACA
RNAcentral lists this ribosomal RNA (207 nucleotides) under uncultured bacterium. RNAcentral describes it as "partial 16S ribosomal RNA". It matches the Rfam family "Bacterial small subunit ribosomal RNA", at positions 568 to 774 of the family's 1533-position model. The record is from RNAcentral.